UUAGUUACUAUGCAUUCCAUUCUUCUAUAAAUAGAAGCUCAUUCCUUCAUUAUUUCUUACGAAUUCACUGAAACUCUAGAGAGAGAAACUAUAGAGAGAGUUCUUCUUCUAUAAUCUUGAGCGUAUUUAUUUAGAGUUUAAGAAAGCUUUGAGCGUAGUGCAGUUUUCUUCGAGUAUAUCCUCGCCCUACCAGUCAGAAUACUUUUCUUUCAAAGGUAGGGGAUAUUAUUUGUUGUACUCGUAAGGGAUAUUAUUUGUUGUACUCGUAAGGGGUAUUCUUUCUUUCUUAUUCGUGAAGAAAACUUCUGUUAUUCCAUUCUUUAUUGUUCUGUUGGAAUAACCUGUAUACGCCGUUACCCUAUACUUGGUGAAAUUCUUCUAUUAUUCCAUUCUUU
RNAcentral lists this long non-coding RNA (395 nucleotides) under Panax ginseng (ginseng). RNAcentral's name for it is "long non-coding RNA (PGIN_LNC010027)". The record is from RNAcentral. Lineage: Eukaryota; Viridiplantae; Streptophyta; Magnoliopsida; Apiales; Araliaceae.